GACGAACGCUGGCGGCGUGCUUAACACAUGCAAGUCGAACGGAAAGGCCCUGCUUUUGUGGGGUGCUCGAGUGGCGAACGGGUGAGUAACACGUGAGUAACCUGCCCUUGACUUUGGGAUAACUUCAGGAAACUGGGGCUAAUACCGGAUAGGAGCCCCUGCUGCAUGGUGGGGGUUGGAAAGUUUCGGCGGUUGGGGUUGGACUCGCGGCUUAUCAGCUUGUUGGUGGGGUAGUGGCUUACCAAGGCUUUGACGGGUAGCCGGCCUGAGAGGGUGACCGGCGACAUUGGGACUGAGGGACGGCGCAGACGCCAACGGGAGGCAGCAGUGGGGAAUAUUGCACAAUGGGCGGAAGCCUGAUGAAGCAGCGCCGCGUGCGGGAUGACGGCCUUCGGGUUGUAAACCGCUUUCGCCUGUGACGAAGCGUGAGUGACGGUAAUGGGUAAAGAAGCACCGGCUAACUACGUG
This 468-nucleotide ribosomal RNA is filed under the name uncultured bacterium. Its description in RNAcentral is "partial 16S ribosomal RNA". It matches the Rfam family "Bacterial small subunit ribosomal RNA", at positions 28 to 507 of the family's 1533-position model. The record is from RNAcentral.